UACGUAGGGGGCAAGCGUUGUCCGGAUUUAUUGGGCGUAAAGAGCGUGUAGGCGGCCAGACAGGUCUGCUGUGAAAACUCGAGGCUCAACCUCGAGACGCCGGUGGAAACCGUUUGGCUAGAGUCCGGAAGAGGAGAGUGGAAUUCCUGGUGUAGCGGUGAAAUGCGCAGAUAUCAGGAAGAACACCGAUGGCGAAGGCAGGUCUCUGGGCAUUAACUGACGCUGAGGAGCGAAAGCAUGGGGAGCGAACAGG
Molecule: ribosomal RNA, 253 nt
Filed under: uncultured bacterium
Lineage: Bacteria
Description: partial 16S ribosomal RNA
Rfam family: Bacterial small subunit ribosomal RNA
Source: RNAcentral